KCCGACCCGCUGAAUUCAAGCAUAUAAGUAGGCGGAGGAAAAGGAACUAAACAGGAUUCCCUUAGUAAUGGCGAACGAACAGGGAUAAGCUCAGGUUGGAAACCAGGGCCCUGGUCCUGGGUUGUAGCCUGCAGACGUAGCGCUAUCGGCGGCUUGAGCGAAAGCCUCUUGGAACAGAGCGUGUGCCCAGGUGAGAAUCCUGUGUUUCGCUUGAGUCCGCCGUGUACGGUGCUCGCUCUCAAAGUCACGCUCCUCGGAAUUGGAGCGUAAAUCAGGUGGUAGUUUUCAUCUAAAGCCAAAUACAGACCUGAGACCGAUAGUGAACAAGUACCAUGAGGGAAAGAUGAAAAGGACUUUGGAAAGAGAGUCAAAAGUGCUUGAAAUCGCUGAAAGGGAAGCGAAUGGAACCACAUGCUUGCUGAGAUUGCUGCCAAUGCUUGUGAGCCCUGGUCAUUAAAGCGCAAGCUUCUUGUCUAGGAGUGAGUUGGCAUUUGUAGUGCUUCUUAGCUUGCGCGUCACAUGCCACA
Molecule: ribosomal RNA, 527 nt
Filed under: Symbiodinium sp. SC13.5
Lineage: Eukaryota; Dinophyceae; Suessiales; Symbiodiniaceae
Description: LSU rRNA
Rfam family: Eukaryotic large subunit ribosomal RNA
Source: RNAcentral